This 986-nucleotide unclassified non-coding RNA is filed under the name Hevea brasiliensis (rubber tree). Lineage: Eukaryota; Viridiplantae; Streptophyta; Magnoliopsida; Malpighiales; Euphorbiaceae. The record is from RNAcentral.
AGAAGAAGGUUAUAUUCUUACUACUUCUUCUAGACUCUUGCUCAAAGAUAGCUCCACCAGCUUGACUACCACUGUUCUAGCAAUGCUAGAUCCUGAGCUGAUAACUCCAUGGUUUUCCCUUUCUGACUGUUUCCAAGGGAAUGAGCUCACAGCAUUUGAAACUUAUCAUGGAAUUACUUUUUUGGAAUAUGGGAAGCAAAAUCUUGAAUUUAACAAUUUAUUGAAUGAGGCCAUGGCCUGUGAUUCUCAGUUGGUGAGCUUGAUUGUUAAGAACCAUAAGGAAAUGUUUGAAGGUGUGGCUUCACUGGUUGAUGUAGGGGGUGGAACAGGAACUCUAGCCAGGACAAUUUCUGAUGCAUACCCUCAUAUGAAAUGCACAGUCUUGGAUCUCCCGCAAGUUGUUGCAAACUUGCCAGAGAGCAAAAACGUGAAAUUUGUCGCUGGUGACAUGUUUCAGUCGAUUCCUUCUGCCGAGGCAGUUCUGAUCAAGUCUGUUCUGCAUAACUGGAGCGACGAGGCCUGCGUAAAGAUUUUGAAGCAAUGCAGAGAAGCUAUUGCCAGCACAGACAAGGGAGGAAAAUUGAUAAUUAUAGAAAUGGUGAUUAAUGAAAAGAAAGAUGAAAGUAAUAAUCAGCUGGCAGAAACAAAGCUCUUUGCAGACCUGCAAAUGAUGCUUGUAUGCACCGGAAGAGAGAGAAACGAGCAAGAAUGGGCAAGGCUCUUCUUGGAGGCUGGAUUUAAUCGUUAUAAAAUGACUGCUACUUGUGGGUUAAAUUCCAUCAUUGAGGUUUAUCCAUAGGAAGUCACUUUAUAUGAGUUUCUUGUUUGUUCCUUCUGAGUUGCUGCAUGCAAUCGUUGAGCGAGCAACGCAAUUGCAGCUUAACGUAUCGUGUAGAAGCAACUAUAUUAUAAGUUGCAUCUCUAAUAUAUGUUUAAGUUUAAUGGCCAUUAAUAAUAAUAAUAAUUAAUAAUAUAAAGUGACUUCC